UUAAGCGACUAAGCGUACACGGUGGAUGCCCUGGCAGUCAGAGCGAUGGAGGACGUGCUAAUCUGCGAUAAGCGUCGGUAAGGUGAUAUGAACCGUUAUAACCGGCGAUUUCCGAAUGGGGAAACCCAGUGUGAUUCGUCACACUAUCAUUAACUGAAUCCAUAGGUUAAUGAGGCGAACCGGGGGAACUGAAACAUCUAAGUACCCCGAGGAAAAGAAAUCAACCGAGAUUCCCCCAGUAGCGGCGAGCGAACGGGGAGGAGCCCAGAGCCUGAAUCAGUGUGUGUGUUAGUGGAAGCGUCUGGAAAGGCGCGCGAUACAGGGUGACAGCCCCGUACACAAAAAUGCACAUGCUGUGAGCUCGAUGAGUAGGGCGGGACACGUGGUAUCCUGUCUGAAUAUGGGGGGACCAUCCUCCAAGGCUAAAUACUCCUGACUGACCGAUAGUGAACCAGUACCGUGAGGGAAAGGCGAAAAGAACCCCGGCGAGGGGAGUGAAAAAGAACCUGAAACCGUGUACGUACAAGCAGUGGGAGCACAGAGCAAUCUGUGUGACUGCGUACCUUUUGUAUAAUGGGUCAGCGACUUAUAUUCUGUAGCAAGGUUAACCGAAUAGGGGAGCCGAAGGGAAACCGAGUCUUAACUGGGCGUUAAGUUGCAGGGUAUAGACCCGAAACCCGGUGAUCUAGCCAUGGGCAGGUUGAAGGUUGGGUAACACUAACUGGAGGACCGAACCGACUAAUGUUGAAAAAUUAGCGGAUGACUUGUGGCUGGGGGUGAAAGGCCAAUCAAACCGGGAGAUAGCUGGUUCUCCCCGAAAGCUAUUUAGGUAGCGCCUCGUGAAUUCAUCUCCGGGGGUAGAGCACUGUUUCGGCAAGGGGGUCAUCCCGACUUACCAACCCGAUGCAAACUGCGAAUACCGGAGAAUGUUAUCACGGGAGACACACGGCGGGUGCUAACGUCCGUCGUGAAGAGGGAAACAACCCAGACCGCCAGCUAAGGUCCCAAAGUCAUGGUUAAGUGGGAAACGAUGUGGGAAGGCCCAGACAGCCAGGAUGUUGGCUUAGAAGCAGCCAUCAUUUAAAGAAAGCGUAAUAGCUCACUGGUCGAGUCGGCCUGCGCGGAAGAUGUAACGGGGCUAAACCAUGCACCGAAGCUGCGGCAGCGACACUGUGUGUUGUUGGGUAGGGGAGCGUUCUGUAAGCCUGUGAAGGUGUGCUGUGAGGCAUGCUGGAGGUAUCAGAAGUGCGAAUGCUGACAUAAGUAACGAUAAAGCGGGUGAAAAGCCCGCUCGCCGGAAGACCAAGGGUUCCUGUCCAACGUUAAUCGGGGCAGGGUGAGUCGACCCCUAAGGCGAGGCCGAAAGGCGUAGUCGAUGGGAAACAGGUUAAUAUUCCUGUACUUGGUGUUACUGCGAAGGGGGGACGGAGAAGGCUAUGUUGGCCGGGCGACGGUUGUCCCGGUUUAAGCGUGUAGGCUGGUUUUCCAGGCAAAUCCGGAAAAUCAAGGCUGAGGCGUGAUGACGAGGCACUACGGUGCUGAAGCAACAAAUGCCCUGCUUCCAGGAAAAGCCUCUAAGCAUCAGGUAACAUCAAAUCGUACCCCAAACCGACACAGGUGGUCAGGUAGAGAAUACCAAGGCGCUUGAGAGAACUCGGGUGAAGGAACUAGGCAAAAUGGUGCCGUAACUUCGGGAGAAGGCACGCUGAUAUGUAGGUGAAGUCCCUCGCGGAUGGAGCUGAAAUCAGUCGAAGAUACCAGCUGGCUGCAACUGUUUAUUAAAAACACAGCACUGUGCAAACACGAAAGUGGACGUAUACGGUGUGACGCCUGCCCGGUGCCGGAAGGUUAAUUGAUGGGGUCAGCGCAAGCGAAGCUCUUGAUCGAAGCCCCGGUAAACGGCGGCCGUAACUAUAACGGUCCUAAGGUAGCGAAAUUCCUUGUCGGGUAAGUUCCGACCUGCACGAAUGGCGUAAUGAUGGCCAGGCUGUCUCCACCCGAGACUCAGUGAAAUUGAACUCGCUGUGAAGAUGCAGUGUACCCGCGGCAAGACGGAAAGACCCCGUGAACCUUUACUAUAGCUUGACACUGAACAUUGAGCCUUGAUGUGUAGGAUAGGUGGGAGGCUUUGAAGUGUGGACGCCAGUCUGCAUGGAGCCGACCUUGAAAUACCACCCUUUAAUGUUUGAUGUUCUAACGUGGACCCGUGAUCCGGGUUGCGGACAGUGUCUGGUGGGUAGUUUGACUGGGGCGGUCUCCUCCUAAAGAGUAACGGAGGAGCACGAAGGUUGGCUAAUCCUGGUCGGACAUCAGGAGGUUAGUGCAAUGGCAUAAGCCAGCUUGACUGCGAGCGUGACGGCGCGAGCAGGUGCGAAAGCAGGUCAUAGUGAUCCGGUGGUUCUGAAUGGAAGGGCCAUCGCUCAACGGAUAAAAGGUACUCCGGGGAUAACAGGCUGAUACCGCCCAAGAGUUCAUAUCGACGGCGGUGUUUGGCACCUCGAUGUCGGCUCAUCACAUCCUGGGGCUGAAGUAGGUCCCAAGGGUAUGGCUGUUCGCCAUUUAAAGUGGUACGCGAGCUGGGUUUAGAACGUCGUGAGACAGUUCGGUCCCUAUCUGCCGUGGGCGCUGGAGAACUGAGGGGGGCUGCUCCUAGUACGAGAGGACCGGAGUGGACGCAUCACUGGUGUUCGGGUUGUCAUGCCAAUGGCACUGCCCGGUAGCUAAAUGCGGAAGAGAUAAGUGCUGAAAGCAUCUAAGCACGAAACUUGCCCCGAGAUGAGUUCUCCCUGACCCUUUAAGGGUCCUGAAGGAACGUUGAAGACGACGACGUUGAUAGGCCGGGUGUGUAAGCGCAGCGAUGCGUUGAGCUAACCGGUACUAAUGAACCGUGAGGCUUAACCUU
This 2902-nucleotide ribosomal RNA is filed under the name Escherichia coli DEC4E. RNAcentral's name for it is "bacterial LSU rRNA". It matches the Rfam family "Bacterial large subunit ribosomal RNA". The record is from RNAcentral. Lineage: Bacteria; Pseudomonadati; Pseudomonadota; Gammaproteobacteria; Enterobacterales; Enterobacteriaceae.